RNAcentral lists this ribosomal RNA (578 nucleotides) under Pterobunocephalus sp. ANSP 182774. Its description in RNAcentral is "partial 16S ribosomal RNA". The stretch from base 188 to 578 matches the Rfam family "Bacterial large subunit ribosomal RNA", at positions 568 to 1122 of the family's 2925-position model. Lineage: Eukaryota; Metazoa; Chordata; Actinopteri; Siluriformes; Aspredinidae. The record is from RNAcentral.
GCUAAACAGCUAGCUUAAUUAAACAAAUAUAUAAACAACAUUAAUCACUUUAAUAAGACAACAACAUACAAAUUAAACCAUUUUUCCGCCCAAGUAUGUGAGACAAAAAAGGCAACACUAAAGCAAUAGAAAAAGUACCGCAAGGGAACGCUGAAAAAGAAAUGAAAUAAAUCAGACAAGCCAAACAAAGCAGAGCUAAAUCCUCGUACCUUUUGCAUCAUGAUUUAGCCAGAUAUGCUUGAGCAAAAGGAAUUUUAGUUCAAACCCCCGAAACUAGGUGAGCUACCCCGAGACAGCCUAUAAAACUAGGGCCCACCCAUCUCUGUGGCAAAAGAGUGGGAAGAUCUCCGGGUAGAGGCGACAAACCUACCGAACUUAGUUAUAGCUGGUUGCCUAGGAAAUGAAUAGAAGUUCAGCCUCAUAAUCCUCCACUCACCAACCAAACGAAGCAGAGAAAAUUAUGAAAGUUAGUUGAAGGGGGUACAGCCCCUUCGAAACAGGACACAACCUCUAUAAGCAGGUUAAAGAUUAUAUUAAACAAGACUGUCUGCACCGGUGGGCCUAAAAGCAGCCACCCC